UUCUGCACGAGGACACGCUGAAAGCCUCCGGUCAGGUGUUAAUGUACAUCCUGAUCGACCCGACCUUAUUUUACGUUGGGUUGUUAUGAGAACUUAUCCUCUAAAGACUGCUGCAACUAAUCGGAAUCCAAAGAGAGCAGCAGAAAGUCGAUUAAAACCAAGCGCUUCUUCCCCGUUUGGCGUCUCGUCAGCCAGCGACCUUUCGGUCUGACCUCUGAGCAUAAACCCGCCCGGCGUCCCCGGACCGGAGCGUCUGCAGCUCAUCUCGUCUCGUGUCUCGGAGGCAUGCGACCGGCCUCUGUGUGGUAGACGGGCCCGUGCGGGAGGGGGAGCCCGAUACACAAACCAGAUGUGAGAGCCGCGUGCCAGAUGUGGCCGCUUUGCUCCAGUUAGGGUAGUCAAAACGGUCAGCCGCGGGCCGGGGGCCUUCACGGGGAGGAUUGCUUUCACGGCACGCCAUUGGCCAACUCAAACAAAAACACGAGAGAGCCGACUGGAAAAGAAGGAGAUGAGUAAUUAUCAUUAAUAAUGGUUCUGCUGAAGAGCUUUCAGAAGGGGAGGAGAUGUUGCAUGUGAAGUAUGUACGCCGCACGGUGUGUCCUUCUAGGCACUUUAACAUUAAAUUCAUUACACAGAUUGUCCGGCCACAGCAUUUAAAGACGAGGUGACGACAUCCAGAGAGUCAGAAGGCUGCAGUUUGAACACGCCGUCUCUUCUGAAUCCGAGCGGCGCUCUUUCACUUGUUCCCGGAGAACAGGAGAGCGGCCGUUUGUUCGGAGGUAAUCUUCUGUGACCGGACCACAGGUCUGGAAAAAUUCACGCUUGUUGGCUCCGAGAACACAAGGGCCCGUUGUAACACUCGGGAUGCUGGAAACGACACCGGCAGGGCAGACGUUUAAAUACCUGCCGCAGGAUUUCCUUCAUCAGCCGGAUUCCGCCUGAAAAAGACCCACCAGUAUGAGCGAGAUCACCACAGCGAGCCCAGUCAACUGACCAACAACCGGCCGCUAGUUGUCUUGGUUUUACAGGCCUCUCUCACUCAAAAUGUUAACUUACGACAGACAAUAGAUGGAGAAAAAUUAGCAAAUAUGCUAAAGUUUAGUAACUUAUCGGCUGUCGCUGUGUGGCAUUUUUUUAAAUUUUAAAAUAAAUUGUAUAUUAUAGGAGAUUUGUGUUUUCAAAGAAACUCAUUAACUCAUCAGCCCUUAUGCUAAGCUAAGACGUGACAGCGGUGCCGAUUAGCGAGCAUGCUAAUGACUGUCCCAAAAUGAUAUUGAAGCCUAUCCUUUUGAGUAUUACCGUUAUUUUACAGUGGAAUUCACCAGGCGAGCCUGAGCAGGUGAGACAGACACAAGAGGACGUCUUUGGUGACAAAAGACAAGUAACACGAGCGACAGUGAGAGUGGAAAAAGGUGCUGCAGAAAUCCCAAAGUGUUGAAAGAGAGAAGGCUGAUGGGGGAGGGGGGGGGGGGGCAGAGAGUAGGGGGGGGGGGCAGAGAGUAUCUUACUGGCUUCAGUUGCUUCCACUGCGCGCUGCCAGAUGAGUGGGUGGAGGGGAAAGAAGGAUCUCUAUUUGUCUUCCUGGGAGUUUCCGAGGCGGCUCAGAGCUCGUGUAGGUGAGUGGCUGCAGACCCCUCCGCCCCCCCCCCCCCCUCCCCACAUCCUCUAUCGUCCUCAAGGGUCCUCGCAGGGACAAUCAAUGCGGGCAGGAGAAAAGGUUUACGUCUUGCUUUAAACUCGCUGAACUGCGUUGCGUCCCUGUCACCCCCGCUGCACAGGAGAGAUUCUGUUUUUAUGUGCGUCUCCUGUGAAUCCAUCGCACUAAAAGCCCGGCUCUCAUUGUUAAAAACCCCCGUGUGUGUGUGUGUGUGUGUGUGUGUGUGUGUGUGUGUGUGCGUGCGCUCUGAGGUGGAGGAUCAGGACUAAGGAGUCUCAGACGUCUCUUUGGCCACCUCCUGACCCCUGGCUGCAAAAGUGGAAAGAAACGGAUCAUUUGCAGGGUGUGGGGGGGGGGUCUCUGUCGUAUCUUCGUCUCGGUGCCUCGCUGACAGGUUUGCAUGGAGUGUUUGUGUGACGGGACUUCGUUGGGCCGGGUCGAGGGCCCGUGAGGCCUUCUAAUAAAAGGAGGAACGUUGGCAGCAGCUCUGGGGAGAUAUUGAACAUCUUGUCACGCAGGGGAACCGCCUCAUCCAGACCGGGGCCCAUUCUCUACCCCCGGUGUGUAGCUGGGGGGGGCAUACGAGAAUCAAGAAACAGCCAACACCCCCCCUGCUGCGCCGAGAAGGCCGUCAGAACAAUAAAAGCCGGCAGAGCAGAGGAAGCGUCCCGGCCAGAGGCCCCGCGGGCCGGACAACGCUCGGCCUGUUCAGGGUGAAACAAAUAAACGCCUCUCAGUUACACACACACACACACACAGACACACACACACAGACACACACGCAGAGGGAAGGAAUGAGGAAACAGAUAUGGAGUGAACAAGGACAAAGCAAAUCCAAGCUGUAGUUAAUCUACAAGAUUUAUCUUUUGCUCAGAGCAGUAAUGCGUAUUAAAGAGCCAAAAUGUGACGGUGAGGGAAGCAGCGUUGUGUUCAGGCACCAAAGGACGACUCGCUCCCCCAAGGUCAUAUAUAUGUCCUAUGAAUCGCUUUGUGCACCGGCUAAUGUGAUCAUUAUGAAUAUGAAUACUUUCUUAUGACACUUUUAUGACAUACUUGCUGUGACUAAUAUAUGACAAUAUGACUAUUGACAAACUGUACAUGUGUGACUUUCUUGCGAAAUCAAAUGAUAUGGAAUAAUAUUGUACAUAUAUAUAUACAUAUAUAACUUUAUUACUUAAGAUAUGGCUUUAAUAUGACUUUAUUUCAACAAACUGUAUUUUUUACCACUAAUGCCACACACUUUCACCUUUUUUGGCACAAAAUGCAUUUACUUUUCUUUAUGAAUAAAUUGUUUAAUGACUUACAUGAUUUAUUUUGGCAUACUGUGUCCCCAUAUCACCAAUGUAUCCUGAUAAGUGUGAAUUAGUUCCCAGUCAUAUCUCAUAUUAAAGCUACUACCAGACUUAUUAGUAGCUGUAGUAUAUCCAGUAUAACCUAUUUCCUUACAACCAAUUAAAAUAGAUCCUUUUUUACAGUAAACUGUGGCGGUUUUUCUACGCCAAGACCCCAGCCUUGGCAUUAAUUUGAAAUAGAAAAAGUACAUGUACCAUUUAGUUGUACCAGUGCUUUCUCUCCCACUCAUGGCCAGGGUUUAAAUCAGAGCCAUAGAGAAAACACCUCCCACGUACUAAUUCACCAGUGAAAAGGCAUUUAAAAAGUAAUGUUAGUUGAUGAAAAGAGGAUAGAGAUUAAAACCAGCAAUAAUGUAAUUUCCCAUUUUCGAAAAGGCAGCGACAAAGGCCACGCAAAAAGGGGGCUUCGUUAAGACCCUCUGUUCAUUUAUUACCAGAGCAGUUUGGUUAAAAGCUACUGACAUACCAACAUCCCGGAUUCAUAACUUUUCUCUGGUAGCGUAACUACGAGGCACCAGAUGGAAACAUCUGUUCGCUAGUGCUCGUCGGGGGGGGGGGGGGGUCCAUCAGUCCAUCAGGAGAGGCUUUCCACUAAGAAUCAAAGAGCACACGUGUUACUGUCUGCAGCCUCCUGCAAUACGUGACUCUUAACGUCUUCAUGUCCAUGUGGGGGGUGGGGGGGGGUCCACUACGUGCCAUUAAGACCAUGUGGCAGCAGUUAAGAUGGUUGACUGUAUCUGCACUGGUGUGUAGAGAUGGAUCUCCCCCCCGGCCCCCCAAACUCGCUCUCUCUGGACAAACGGUCAACCGCUUACAACAAUAGGCGCAGUGUUCUUAGUCUGUUCUCAGUCUGUUCUCAGUCUGUUCUGUUCUCAGUCUGUUCUCGGUCUGUUCUCGGUCUGUUCUCGGUCUGUUCUUAGUCUGUUCUGUUCUCAGUCUGUUCUCAGUCUGUUCUCAGUCUGUUCUGUUCUCAGUCUGUUCUGUUCUCAGUCUGUUCUCGGUCUGUUCUCGCUCUGUUCUUAGUCUGUUCUCAGUCUGUUCUCGGUCUGUUCUCGGUCUGUUCUCAGUCUGUUCUCAGUCUGUUCUCAGUCUGUUCUUAGUCUGUUCUCGGUCUGUUCUCGGUCUGUUCUCAGUCUGUUCUCAGUCUGUUCUUAGUCUGUUCUCGGUCUGUUCUCGGUCUGUUCUCAGUCUGUUCUCAGUCUGUUCUCAGUCUGUUCCUUAUCUGUUCUCAGUCUGUUCUCAGUCUGUUCUCAGUCUGUUCUCAGGACCGUCUUUGAAAACCACCGACCUUGCGUGUCUCCUCAGAGGUCACACCUCCCGGCACGUGUCCGCUUUCGAAAACGAACAUCCAGACGUUCACUUCGACAAGGCCGCAGGCUUGUUUGGACGCGG
This is a long non-coding RNA of Gasterosteus aculeatus aculeatus (three-spined stickleback), 4401 nucleotides long. The record is from Ensembl. Lineage: Eukaryota; Metazoa; Chordata; Actinopteri; Perciformes; Gasterosteidae.